UACGUAGGAGGCAAGCGUUGUCCGGAAUUACUGGGCGUAAAGCGCGUGUAGGUGGUGGGACAAGUCUGCUGUGAAAGCGCCUGGCUUAACCGGGCGAGGUCGGCGGAAACCAUUUGGCUAGAGUCCGGAAGAGGAGAGUGGAAUUCCUGGUGUAGCGGUGAUAUGCGUAGAUAUGUGGAGGAACACCAGUGGCGAAGGCGACUCUCUGGUCUGUAACUGACGCUGAGGCGCGAAAGCGUGGGGGAGCAAACAGG
Molecule: ribosomal RNA, 254 nt
Filed under: uncultured bacterium
Lineage: Bacteria
Description: partial 16S ribosomal RNA
Rfam family: Bacterial small subunit ribosomal RNA
Source: RNAcentral